CUACGGGACGCACCAGUGGGGAAUAUUGGACAAUGGGGGAAACCCUGAUCCAGCAAUGCCGCGUGUGUGAAGAAGGCCUGUGGGUUGUAAAGCACUUUCGGUUGGGAGGACUGCUUCUAGCACUAAUAUUGUUGGAAGUUGACGUUACCUUCAGAAGAAGCACCGGCUAACUCCGUGCCAGCAGCCACGGUAAUACGGAGGGUGCAAGCGUUAAUCGGAAUUACUGGGCGUAAAGCGCGCGUAGGCGGCUAGAUCAGUCGGGUGUGAAAGCCCCGGGCUUAACCUGGGAACUGCAUCCGAUACUGUCUAGCUUGAGUACAGGAGAGGAGAGUGGAAUUCCACAUGUAGCGGUGAAAUGCGUAGAUAUGUGGAGGAACACCAAUGGCGAAGGCAGCUCUCUGGCCUGAUACUGACGCUGAGGUGCGAAAGCGUGGGGAGCAAACAGGAUUAGAUACCCGCGUAGUC
RNAcentral lists this ribosomal RNA (465 nucleotides) under uncultured bacterium. RNAcentral describes it as "partial 16S ribosomal RNA". It matches the Rfam family "Bacterial small subunit ribosomal RNA", at positions 339 to 795 of the family's 1533-position model. The record is from RNAcentral.